CAGUCGCCACGGGAAUACGGAGGGGGCUAGCGUUGUUCGGAAUUACUGGGCGUAAAGCGCACGUAGGCGGCUUUUUAAGUCAGAGGUGAAAGCCCGGAGCUCAACUCCGGAACUGCCUUUGAGACUGGAAGGCUUGAACGUCGGAGAGGUGAGUGGAAUUCCGAGUGUAGAGGUGAAAUUCGUAGAUAUUCGGAAGAACACCAGUGGCGAAGGCGGCUCACUGGACGACUGUUGACGCUGAGGUGCGAAAGCGUGGGGAGCAAACAGGAUUAGAUACCCCUGUAGUCCCUGUCUCUUAUAA
Molecule: ribosomal RNA, 301 nt
Filed under: uncultured bacterium
Lineage: Bacteria
Description: partial 16S ribosomal RNA
Rfam family: Bacterial small subunit ribosomal RNA
Source: RNAcentral